AAAUUUGUUGAUAACUGCAGCAAAGGAUAACAAAAUUUGUGUGUGGAAUCCAAAUGCAACAGAACGUGGCUUAGAAAUUGUUGGGGAGUUUCCUUCCUAUAACCAGUGGUGUUUUGACAUGGACUGGGGUCAGCGGGAUCCUUCCUUGGUUGCUGUGUCAUCUGUUGAUGGCUGUGUUAGCAUAUACUCCUUGUUAGGUAGUGGUCAGCCUCCCACUCAGUCAGAUAAAUUUUCACAGAUAGC
This is a non-coding RNA of Cherax quadricarinatus, 243 nucleotides long. The record is from RefSeq and is a predicted model, not a curated record. NCBI's taxonomy places the organism in Eukaryota, Metazoa, Arthropoda, Malacostraca, Decapoda, Parastacidae.